RNAcentral lists this transfer RNA (77 nucleotides) under Varibaculum cambriense. RNAcentral's name for it is "tRNA-Lys". It matches the Rfam family "tRNA". From Rfam's summary of the family: Transfer RNA (tRNA) molecules are approximately 80 nucleotides in length. Their secondary structure includes four short double-helical elements and three loops (D, anti-codon, and T loops). The record is from RNAcentral. RNAcentral also lists the same sequence under 7 other names. Lineage: Bacteria; Bacillati; Actinomycetota; Actinomycetes; Actinomycetales; Actinomycetaceae.
GCGCCACUAGCUCAACUGGCUAGAGCAUCUGACUCUUAAUCAGAGGGUUCGGGGUUCGAGUCCCCGGUGGCGUACCA